AUGUGAGUCUGAUUUAGAAUCUGUUUCCAUCUGGUAUUGUUCCAGCUUCUUUACACAUGGUCACUUCCACAACAUCUACUAGUCCCACUACUACAGUAUUUUCACAGCCUGUAUCUUCCACAGCAUCUACUAGUUCAACUUCUACAGCUUCUUUACACAUGGUCACUUCCACAACAUCUACCAGUCCCACUACUACAGUUCUUUUACAACCGGUCACUUCCACACCAUCUAGUUCUACAUCUACAGUCUCUUUACAGCCAGUCAAUUCUACAACAUCUACUGGUUGUACUUCUACAGUGUCUUUACAGCCAGUCACUUCCACAACAUUUACUAGUUCUACUUCUACAGCUUCUUUACACAUGGUCACUUCCACAACAUCUACUAGUCCCACUACUACAGUUCUUUUACAACCAGUCACUUCCGCAACAUCUACAAGUUCUACUUCUGCAGUUUCUUUAAAGCCAGUCACCUCCGCAAAAUCUUCUAGUUCUACUUCUACAGCUUCUUUACACAUGGUCACUUCCACAACAUCUACCAGUCCCACUACUACAGGUGAAUGUGUUGCUGUACUGGAAUGUGGCUUUCACAAGAAGCUCCUCCUAAUCUGAGUCUGAUUUAACAGCUGUUUCCAUAUGUUGUGUUUCAGUUACUUUACCGCCAAUCACGUCCACAGCAUUUACAGGUCAUACUUCUACAGGUUAGUGUGAUGCUGGACUUCCUUUCAUCCAAGUUUUGGUGCUGAUUUCUGCCUCCU
Molecule: long non-coding RNA, 754 nt
Organism: Sinocyclocheilus anshuiensis
Lineage: Eukaryota; Metazoa; Chordata; Actinopteri; Cypriniformes; Cyprinidae
Source: Ensembl